UGGUAUCUUAGAAGCAGAUAUGAGGGUUGAGUCACUUCCUUCUUUUAUGCCAAAAUCUUUCCAGGGCAUUCCACUUAGCCCAACUCAGGUAACUGGGAAGAGAUGGGUAACUUUCUAGGCACCCUGGUGUUCUUUGGGCAUUAACUCUUCAACUAAAAACAAGAGUUCUGCUUUUAAGCUAUACCUGCCAUAUUUUAGAAACUAGGAGAUUCUGUUUUAUACUUUCAUUAAAGCUGAAGGUCCUGGUCCUUGGAGUGGUACUGGAUACCUAGAGUUUUUUUCGGGACUGACCCCAACCCCAUGCAGGUAAACUCACCAAAUUUAAACAGAGGUUGGCCCUACACACUAUAUUCAAAGUAGCUUGCUGAGUUGGUAAACUAAAAAUAAACUUAAAAGAUUCAACUGCUUCCCUCUACACAACAGACUAUGAGUCAGCAUGUAAAAGAAGAGAAACUUCUGAGUCCACUACACUGGUGGAUCUUGAAGACAUUAUGCUAAGCAAAAGAAGUAGAGAGCUACUAAAAAGUUAAGAAGCAGAAUAAUCACAGGCCCAGAAUGUUCAGGAGAGAAGCGACCACCUGCACGUCCAGAUGGCGACGGCUCCCCCCCCUCCGCCCUCCGCAGUCCAGCACAACCGGAUAUGAGAAGUGCCUGUGCGAGGAACCCAUUAGGGAGGGAGAGAGGAGGAGAGUGACUGGACAGAGACUUAGACCAGCAUCUUCAGCAGAGCAGAGCAGGAGCCAUGACAGGCAGCCUUAGGGUCAAGAGGAAAGACUGAAGAUGACCACAGAACCCACACCAUAGUGCUAUGGUGAAGAUUACGUCAAAAAGGCCAAAGAGAACUGAAUGCAGUCAGUACCUGGUGUGUGGCGAAUAUUUAACUAACGCCUGCCUGCUACGAGCCUACCACACUGGAGGUAAGCCCUGAAGAAGCCCUGUGUGAAGGCUAAAGGUAUCUGUCUGCAGGGUCAGGCUCUGCGACCUCAGCACAUAAACAAACACCAGUCUAGAUAUUCCUAGGGGAAUAUUUUUGUUUGGGGAUUGUUUUUGUUUUGUUUUUUCCCCUUAGAUGUGUUUAACAUUUAAAUUGGUAGACUUUGAAUAAAGUAGAUAAGUUUCCAUAACAUAGGUGGGUUUCAU
Rattus norvegicus (Norway rat) is the source of this 1140-nucleotide non-coding RNA. The record is from RefSeq and is a predicted model, not a curated record. NCBI's taxonomy places the organism in Eukaryota, Metazoa, Chordata, Mammalia, Rodentia, Muridae.